Molecule: ribosomal RNA, 368 nt
Filed under: uncultured organism
Description: bacterial SSU rRNA
Rfam family: Bacterial small subunit ribosomal RNA
Source: RNAcentral
CGGAGGGUGCAAGCGUUAUCCGGAUUUACUGGGUUUAAAGGGUGUGUAGGCGGGCUGUUAAGUCAGUGGUGAAAUCUCCGGGCUCAACCCGGAAACUGCCAUUGAUACUAAUGGUCUUGAAUAUCGUUGAGGUAGGCGGAAUAUGUCAUGUAGCGGUGAAAUGCAUAGAGAUGACAUAGAACACCAAUUGCGAAGGCAGCCUACUAAGCGAUGAUUGACGCUGAGGCACGAAAGCGUGGGGAUCAAACAGGAUUAGAUACCCUGGUAGUCCACGCCCUAAACGAUGAUUACUCGACAUACGCGAUACACAGUGUAUGUCUGAGCGAAAGCAUUAAGUAAUCCACCUGGGAAGUACGUCCGCAAGGAUG